GACGAACGCUGGCGGCGUGCUUAACACAUGCAAGUCGAACGGCAAGGCCCUGCUUUUGUGGGGUUCUCGAGUGGCGAACGGGUGAGUAACACGUGAGUAACCUGCCCUUGACUUUGGGAUAACUUCAGGAAACUGGGGCUAAUACCGGAUAGGAGCUCCUGCUGCAUGGUGGGGGUUGGAAAGUUUCGGCGGUUGGGGAUGGACUCGCGGCUUAUCAGCUUGUUGGUGGGGUAGUGGCUUACCCAGGCUUUGACGGGUAGCCGGCCUGAGAGGGUGACCGGCCACAUGAGGACUGAGAGACGGCGCAGACUCCUACGGGAGGCAGCAGUGGGGAAUAUUGCACAAUGGGCGGAAGCCUGAUGCGGCAACGCCGCGUGCGGGAUGACGGCCUUCGGGUUGUAAACCGCUUUCGCCUGUGACGAAGCGUGAGUGACGGUAAUGGGUAAAGAAGCACCGGCUAACUACGUG
Molecule: ribosomal RNA, 468 nt
Filed under: uncultured bacterium
Lineage: Bacteria
Description: partial 16S ribosomal RNA
Rfam family: Bacterial small subunit ribosomal RNA
Source: RNAcentral